Molecule: microRNA precursor, 158 nt
Filed under: Podarcis lilfordi (Lilford's wall lizard)
Lineage: Eukaryota; Metazoa; Chordata; Lepidosauria; Squamata; Lacertidae
Source: RNAcentral
AACUCAGUUUGUUCUGGGUAUAAGCUUUUAUGUGCAUGCACACUUCUUCAGAUACACUGAAACAUAUGUCACCAGACCCUUAUAUAUUCUUCUGUUUCAGUCUAUCUGAAGAAGUGUACAUGCACACAAAAGCUUACACCCAGAACAAACUUAGUUGG